RNAcentral lists this ribosomal RNA (253 nucleotides) under uncultured bacterium. RNAcentral describes it as "partial 16S ribosomal RNA". It matches the Rfam family "Bacterial small subunit ribosomal RNA", at positions 524 to 776 of the family's 1533-position model. The record is from RNAcentral.
UACGAAGGGGGCUAGCGUUGCUCGGAAUCACUGGGCGUAAAGGGUGCGUAGGCGGGUCUUUAAGUCAGGGGUGAAAUCCUGGAGCUCAACUCCAGAACUGCCUUUGAUACUGAAGAUCUUGAGUUCGGGAGAGGUGAGUGGAACUGCGAGUGUAGAGGUGAAAUUCGUAGAUAUUAGGAGGAACACCGGUGGCGAAAGCGACUGUCUGGGCCAUUACUGACGCUGAGGCGCGAAAGCGUGGGGAGCAAACAGG